UACGUAGGGGGCCAGCGUUGUCCGGAUUUAUUGGGCGUAAAGAGCGUGUAGGCGGCCAGACAGGUCCGUUGUGAAAACUCGAGGCUCAACCUCGAGAUGUCGAUGGAAACCGUCUGGCUAGAGUCCGGAAGAGGAGUGUGGAAUUCCUGGUGUAGCGGUGAAAUGCGCAGAUAUCAGGAAGAACACCCGUGGCGAAAGCGGCUCUCUGGAACGGUACUGACGCUGAGACGCGAAAGCGUGGGGAGCGAACAGG
This 253-nucleotide ribosomal RNA is filed under the name uncultured bacterium. RNAcentral's name for it is "partial 16S ribosomal RNA". It matches the Rfam family "Bacterial small subunit ribosomal RNA", at positions 524 to 776 of the family's 1533-position model. The record is from RNAcentral.